RNAcentral lists this ribosomal RNA (279 nucleotides) under uncultured prokaryote. Its description in RNAcentral is "partial 16S ribosomal RNA". It matches the Rfam family "Bacterial small subunit ribosomal RNA", at positions 26 to 284 of the family's 1533-position model. The record is from RNAcentral.
AGAACGAACGCUGGCGGCGUGCUUAACACAUGCAAGUCCAACGUGAAAGGGGAGCAAUCCCCCGGUAGGGUGGCGAACGGGUGAGUAAUACAUGGGAAUCUGUCCUGGAGAUGGGGGAUAUCCUUCCGAAAGGAGGGGUACAACUACCGAAUAUUCGGUCGGGACCGAUGAAGGUUCGGGGAAAGGGAGGCCUCUGGAUACAAGCUUCGUCCUAGACGUGGAGCCCAUGGCCCAUCAGCUAGUUGGUAGGGUAAAGGCCUACCAAGGCUAACGACGGGU